This 550-nucleotide ribosomal RNA is filed under the name Pseudozyma sp. DMKU-SP180. RNAcentral describes it as "LSU rRNA". It matches the Rfam family "Eukaryotic large subunit ribosomal RNA", at positions 118 to 649 of the family's 3401-position model. The record is from RNAcentral. Lineage: Eukaryota; Fungi; Basidiomycota; Ustilaginomycetes; Ustilaginales; Ustilaginaceae.
AAAGCUGGCGUCUUCGGCGUCCGCAUUGUAAUCUCAAGAAGUGUUUUCCGCUUCGGACCAUGCCUAAGUCCCUUGGAAAAGGGCAUCAUAGAGGGUGAUAAUCCCGUACAUGGCAUGGAGCGCCCGAAGCUUUGUGAUACGCUUUCUAAGAGUCGAGUUGUUUGGGAAUGCAGCUCAAAAUGGGUGGUAAAUGCCAUCUAAGGCUAAAUAUUGGGGAGAGACCGAUAGCGAACAAGUACAGUGAUGGAAAGAUGAAAAGAACUUUGAAAAGAGAGUUAAACAGUACGUGAAAUUGCCAAAAGGGAAGGGUAGGAGGUCAGAGAUGCGGCCUGGGAUUCAGCCUUGCUUUUGCUUGGUGUUUUUCCCAGAUUGCAGGCCAACGUCGGUUUUGGGCACUGGAGAAGGGUAGGAGGAACGUGGCACCUCUCGGGGUGUGUUAUAGCCUCCUACUGGAUACAGCGACCGAGACCGAGGACAGCAGCGUACUCGCAAGAGCGGGCCUUCGGGCACCUUUACGCUUAGGGCGUUGGCAUAAUGGCCCUCUACCACC